RNAcentral lists this ribosomal RNA (250 nucleotides) under uncultured prokaryote. RNAcentral's name for it is "partial 16S ribosomal RNA". It matches the Rfam family "Bacterial small subunit ribosomal RNA", at positions 524 to 774 of the family's 1533-position model. The record is from RNAcentral.
CACGUAGGUGGCAAGCGUUGUCCGGAAAUAUUGGGCGUAGAGCGCAUGCAGGCGGCGGUUUAAGUCUGUCGUGAAACUGCGGGGCUCAGCCCCGUAUGGCGAUGGAAACUGGAUUGCUUGAGUGCAGGAGAGGAAAGGGGAACUCGCAGUGUAGCGGUGAAAUGCGUAGAUAUUGGGAAGAACACCGGUGGCGAAGGCGCCUUUCUGGACUGUGUCUGACGCUGAGAUGCGAAAGCCAGGGUAGCGAACG